Long non-coding RNA from Danaus plexippus (monarch butterfly), 488 nucleotides. RefSeq lists it as uncharacterized. The transcript has 3 exons. The record is from RefSeq and is a predicted model, not a curated record. Lineage: Eukaryota; Metazoa; Arthropoda; Insecta; Lepidoptera; Nymphalidae.
GAUUGAAUAAAAACUCAAGAAUGGACGGAUGGACCAAUUUGGGUAAUUUUGGACUUGAAUUAUUUGUCGAAGUCCAGAGAAGGUUUUAAAGCUCUGAUGACGCGAGAAAUAUAGAUAUAGAAAAUAAAUACAUUACUCUGUAAGAAUAGCUUUCUUUAAGGAGCGAUAGAUCAACAGAUCAACAAUUCAAAUGGGGAAGUCGAUAAGUAUUGUUCUCACAAUUCGCGUGUGGAUGGAACUAGUGUCCAAUAAUUACAAAUGUUCCUUUAUCAGAACAAAAAUUUAGCAAGAUGUUUAAUUCACCUACCAUUUACGAAGUGGCUGUUGUUACUGUGGGAGAAAGUUUAUAAUCUAGAGAGAUUAUGCUACAUCGUCGGAAAAAUUAAUUAAACAACAACAACAACAACGCUCUACACCAAUGGACUUAUGAUGCGUUUGCAAUGUGAUUUCAUCUUCUGACAAGGAUAAAAGGAUACCAUAUUAAUAUC